Macaca mulatta (Rhesus monkey) is the source of this 148-nucleotide unclassified non-coding RNA. It matches the Rfam family "Metazoan signal recognition particle RNA". From Rfam's summary of the family: The signal recognition particle (SRP) is a universally conserved ribonucleoprotein. Lineage: Eukaryota; Metazoa; Chordata; Mammalia; Primates; Cercopithecidae. The record is from Ensembl.
GCCAGGCGUGGUGGUGGACGCCUGUAAUCCCAGCUACUUGGGAGGCUGAGGCAGGAGAAUUGCUUGAACCCAGGAGAUGGAGGUUGCAGUGAGCCGACAUAGUGCCACUGCACUCUAGCCUCGGUGACAGAGUAAGAUUCUGUCUCAA